GGGUUGUGAGGUUAAGCGACUAAGCGUACACGGUGGAUGCCCUGGCAGUCAGAGGCGAUGAAGGACGUGCUAAUCUGCGAUAAGCGUCGGUAAGGUGAUAUGAACCGUUAUAACCGGCGAUUUCCGAAUGGGGAAACCCAGUGUGUUUCGACACACUAUCAUUAACUGAAUCCAUAGGUUAAUGAGGCGAACCGGGGAACUGAAACAUCUAAGUACCCCGAGGAAAAGAAAUCAACCGAGAUUCCCCCAGUAGCGGCGAGCGAACGGGGAGCAGCCCAGAGCCUGAAUCAGUGUGUGUGUUAGUGGAAGCGUCUGGAAAGGCGCGCGAUACAGGGUGACAGCCCCGUACACAAAAAUGCACAUGCUGUGAGCUCGAUGAGUAGGGCGGGACACGUGGUAUCCUGUCUGAAUAUGGGGGACCAUCCUCCAAGGCUAAAUACUCCUGACUGACCGAUAGUGAACCAGUACCGUGAGGGAAAGGCGAAAAGAACCCCGGCGAGGGGAGUGAAAAAGAACCUGAAACCGUGUACGUACAAGCAGUGGGAGCCUCUUUAUGGGGUGACUGCGUACCUUUUGUAUAAUGGGUCAGCGACUUAUAUUCUGUAGCAAGGUUAACCGAAUAGGGGAGCCGAAGGGAAACCGAGUCUUAACUGGGCGUUAAGUUGCAGGGUAUAGACCCGAAACCCGGUGAUCUAGCCAUGGGCAGGUUGAAGGUUGGGUAACACUAACUGGAGGACCGAACCGACUAAUGUUGAAAAAUUAGCGGAUGACUUGUGGCUGGGGUGAAAGGCCAAUCAAACCGGGAGAUAGCUGGUUCUCCCCGAAAGCUAUUUAGGUAGCGCCUCGUGAAUUCAUCUCCGGGGGUAGAGCACUGUUUCGGCAAGGGGGUCAUCCCGACUUACCAACCCGAUGCAAACUGCGAAUACCGGAGAAUGUUAUCACGGGAGACACACGGCGGGUGCUAACGUCCGUCGUGAAGAGGGAAACAACCCAGACCGCCAGCUAAGGUCCCAAAGUCAUGGUUAAGUGGGAAACGAUGUGGGAAGGCCCAGACAGCCAGGAUGUUGGCUUAGAAGCAGCCAUCAUUUAAAGAAAGCGUAAUAGCUCACUGGUCGAGUCGGCCUGCGCGGAAGAUGUAACGGGGCUAAACCAUGCACCGAAGCUGCGGCAGCGACGCUUAUGCGUUGUUGGGUAGGGGAGCGUUCUGUAAGCCUGCGAAGGUGUGCUGUGAGGCAUGCUGGAGGUAUCAGAAGUGCGAAUGCUGACAUAAGUAACGAUAAAGCGGGUGAAAAGCCCGCUCGCCGGAAGACCAAGGGUUCCUGUCCAACGUUAAUCGGGGCAGGGUGAGUCGACCCUAAGGCGAGGCCGAAAGGCGUAGUCGAUGGGAAACAGGUUAAUAUUCCUGUACUUGGUGUUACUGCGAAGGGGGACGGAGAAGGCUAUGUUGGCCGGGCGACGGUUGUCCCGGUUUAAGCGUGUAGGCUGGUUUUCCAGGCAAAUCCGGAAAACUAAGGCUGAGGCGUGAUGACGAGGCACUACGGUGCUGAAGCAACAAAUGCCCUGCUUCCAGGAAAAGCCUCUAAGCAUCAGGUAACAUCAAAUCGUACCCCAAACCGACACAGGUGGUCAGGUAGAGAAUACCAAGGCGCUUGAGAGAACUCGGGUGAAGGAACUAGGCAAAAUGGUGCCGUAACUUCGGGAGAAGGCACGCUGAUAUGUAGGUGAAGCGACUUGCUCGUGGAGCUGAAAUCAGUCGAAGAUACCAGCUGGCUGCAACUGUUUAUUAAAAACACAGCACUGUGCAAACACGAAAGUGGACGUAUACGGUGUGACGCCUGCCCGGUGCCGGAAGGUUAAUUGAUGGGGUUAGCGCAAGCGAAGCUCUUGAUCGAAGCCCCGGUAAACGGCGGCCGUAACUAUAACGGUCCUAAGGUAGCGAAAUUCCUUGUCGGGUAAGUUCCGACCUGCACGAAUGGCGUAAUGAUGGCCAGGCUGUCUCCACCCGAGACUCAGUGAAAUUGAACUCGCUGUGAAGAUGCAGUGUACCCGCGGCAAGACGGAAAGACCCCGUGAACCUUUACUAUAGCUUGACACUGAACAUUGAGCCUUGAUGUGUAGGAUAGGUGGGAGGCUUUGAAGUGUGGACGCCAGUCUGCAUGGAGCCGACCUUGAAAUACCACCCUUUAAUGUUUGAUGUUCUAACGUUGACCCGUAAUCCGGGUUGCGGACAGUGUCUGGUGGGUAGUUUGACUGGGGCGGUCUCCUCCUAAAGAGUAACGGAGGAGCACGAAGGUUGGCUAAUCCUGGUCGGACAUCAGGAGGUUAGUGCAAUGGCAUAAGCCAGCUUGACUGCGAGCGUGACGGCGCGAGCAGGUGCGAAAGCAGGUCAUAGUGAUCCGGUGGUUCUGAAUGGAAGGGCCAUCGCUCAACGGAUAAAAGGUACUCCGGGGAUAACAGGCUGAUACCGCCCAAGAGUUCAUAUCGACGGCGGUGUUUGGCACCUCGAUGUCGGCUCAUCACAUCCUGGGGCUGAAGUAGGUCCCAAGGGUAUGGCUGUUCGCCAUUUAAAGUGGUACGCGAGCUGGGUUUAGAACGUCGUGAGACAGUUCGGUCCCUAUCUGCCGUGGGCGCUGGAGAACUGAGGGGGGCUGCUCCUAGUACGAGAGGACCGGAGUGGACGCAUCACUGGUGUUCGGGUUGUCAUGCCAAUGGCACUGCCCGGUAGCUAAAUGCGGAAGAGAUAAGUGCUGAAAGCAUCUAAGCACGAAACUUGCCCCGAGAUGAGUUCUCCCUGACUCCUUGAGAGUCCUGAAGGAACGUUGAAGACGACGACGUUGAUAGGCCGGGUGUGUAAGCGCAGCGAUGCGUUGAGCUAACCGGUACUAAUGAACCGUGAGGCUUAACCUUACAACGCCGAAGGUGUUU
This 2925-nucleotide ribosomal RNA is filed under the name Escherichia coli. RNAcentral's name for it is "bacterial LSU rRNA". It matches the Rfam family "Bacterial large subunit ribosomal RNA". Lineage: Bacteria; Pseudomonadati; Pseudomonadota; Gammaproteobacteria; Enterobacterales; Enterobacteriaceae. The record is from RNAcentral.